Molecule: ribosomal RNA, 1116 nt
Filed under: Salmonella enterica subsp. enterica serovar Typhimurium
Lineage: Bacteria; Pseudomonadati; Pseudomonadota; Gammaproteobacteria; Enterobacterales; Enterobacteriaceae
Description: partial 23S ribosomal RNA
Rfam family: Bacterial large subunit ribosomal RNA
Source: RNAcentral
GAAGGCCCAGACAGCCAGGAUGUUGGCUUAGAAGCAGCCAUCAUUUAAAGAAAGCGUAAUAGCUCACUGGUCGAGUCGGCCUGCGCGGAAGAUGUAACGGGGCUAAACCAUGCACCGAAGCUGCGGCAGCGAACGUAUCACCCAAGACAACUUUACGGAGUUGACGAUUGACGGAGCGAAGCGACGUCAAAGCGUUCAUUAAAGUCGAGUUGGCUUAGGGAUACGUUCGUUGGGUAGGGGAGCGUUCUGUAAGCCUGUGAAGGUGUGUCGUGAGGCAUGCUGGAGGUAUCAGAAGUGCGAAUGCUGACAUAAGUAACGAUAAAGCGGGUGAAAAGCCCGCUCGCCGGAAGACCAAGGGUUCCUGUCCAACGUUAAUCGGGGCAGGGUGAGUCGACCCCUAAGGCGAGGCCGAAAGGCGUAGUCGAUGGGAAACGGGUUAAUAUUCCCGUACUUGGUGUUACUGCGAAGGGGGGACGGAGAAGGCUAUGUUGGCCGGGCGACGGUUGUCCCGGUUUAAGCGUGUAGGUGUGUGUUCCAGGUAAAUCCGGUUCACUUUAACACUGAGGCGUGAUGACGAGGCACUACGGUGCUGAAGCAACAAAUGCCCUGCUUCCAGGAAAAGCCUCUAAGCAUCAGGUAACAUCAAAUCGUACCCCAAACCGACACAGGUGGUCAGGUAGAGAAUACCAAGGCGCUUGAGAGAACUCGGGUGAAGGAACUAGGCAAAAUGGUGCCGUAACUUCGGGAGAAGGCACGCUGACACGUAGGUGAAGUGAUUUACUCACGGAGCUGAAGUCAGUCGAAGAUACCAGCUGGCUGCAACUGUUUAUUAAAAACACAGCACUGUGCAAACACGAAAGUGGACGUAUACGGUGUGACGCCUGCCCGGUGCCGGAAGGUUAAUUGAUGGGGUCAGCGCAAGCGAAGCUCCUGAUCGAAGCCCCGGUAAACGGCGGCCGUAACUAUAACGGUCCUAAGGUAGCGAAAUUCCUUGUCGGGUAAGUUCCGACCUGCACGAAUGGCGUAAUGAUGGCCAGGCUGUCUCCACCCGAGACUCAGUGAAAUUGAACUCGCUGUGAAGAUGCAGUGUACCCGCGGCAAGACGGAAAGACCCCG